Long non-coding RNA from Paramisgurnus dabryanus, 1998 nucleotides. RefSeq lists it as uncharacterized. Lineage: Eukaryota; Metazoa; Chordata; Actinopteri; Cypriniformes; Cobitidae. The record is from RefSeq and is a predicted model, not a curated record.
CAGGGCGUGACAAGAUGACAACAGCACAGCGGGGUUUUAGAAGUAAGUUUUAAAUAUUUAAUAUAUUUUGCAUAGGUUUCUUGUUGUCUAGUUUGUUACAGCCUAAUUAGUCAUUACUGUUAGGGAGGUUUGCAAGUUUUUGUCGUAGUAAUCGUGUAGCUUGCAGUUUACUAUGGUUUGAUGCUUAAUUUUUCUUGGGUGUUUUUGUAAGUAACGUAUGUCUUAAUUUAAUGUUAUUGCACAAUGCACAAAACUGUUCAGAAUCUUUCAGUUUAUAUUAUUCUGGUUAACCUUAUGAAGCAUGUACUUAUAGGAACAGUGAUUAAUAAGGCACUUAUUUAUGCAGUUAAUUCAUAAUUUACAAAAUACGAUUUGUUUAAAAAAGGCAAUACAUUUAUGUUGCCUAACAGUCACUUGAGAAAUAAUUCUAGAAAAAUAAUGUGUACAGACAUUUUCACAGACAUUGUUAAUGUAACUGUUACAUCUGCAUGUAAAUUAUAUAUAUAAAAGCAGCUUUCUGGCAACAGGUGGUGUGCUUUAUUAAUAUAUUUAAAAUGUUCAUAUCUAAUGCAUUUUGACAUCCCUUAUAUUUAUCUUUAUGUAAGAGUUAUACUUUUAUUUUAGUGAGAGGGUUAUGUUUGUGUUUAAGCAGACAUUGCAAGCAGGCCAAGCACUUAUAGCUUUACAUGGCUGGAGUCAAUACUACCUCACCAAAAUUACAACUAAUGUUUGGCUUAAUCCUUGCCUAAUCACAGUGUUUUUCCCUUUUAUUAUUUCUCUUUUUGUAGGUCCAUCAGAGUGAUUUUCUGAGUUCUUUCACAUGCUGUAUGGUAAGAGUGAAUUUCUGCCAGUUGAUACCGGUGACAGGUGUUAAUUAUUAAGUUUAUCUUUGUAUUUUUUAUUAAAGGUCAGCGAAUGGAUGGAUUAUCCAGUCAAGGUACAGAAUGAAAGGUAAAUGGCAAGUAACUAAGUAAUGUACUAAAUGUAUAAACUGUAGUGUAUUCAGUAGCUACUAAUCACAUUACCUCUAUCACUCUCUCUAAAAAACUUGACUGAGUUAGAAGAAGCUGGGCGACUCUUCAGAGUGAAGAUGUUAUGUGCCUGCUUUCGAACCACACCCGUGGAGAUAUCUGCCAACAAAUGGACAAUCAUUCAUGGGGCUACAGAUGGGGCUGCAUUCAAGAAUUUUCAAUAUGCAGUUAUGUCAAAGCUCUCGUUUCGGCUGGCCAGAUUGGAACAGACCUGAAUGGGAAGAUGGCAGAGCUAAGACUGACAAUGUCCAGUAAAAAUGUUAACUAAAAAUGAGUGUUUUUCCUCAGCGAGUGAGUUUGGGAAUGUUUUAAAUGUUCCUAAAAGUUUGAAAAUGUAAUACUGAGGGAAAAAAGUGAGCGCUUUGAAAAGGCUUUAAAAAGAAAAUAAAGUCUGAAGUUGAUGGUAAAUGAAUUUAAAGUUUUUACUUGAAAAGUUUGUACUUGUUUGUACUUGUCAAGUCUGUGCUGAAAAAAAUGGAGUAAAGUUUGUAUUUGAAAAGACUUGGAAUUGUGUGUUCUGUAGAAUGAGUACACAUAUAUGUGCAGGCUGUAUAAAAAAACAUAUGAUGACACCAUGCCACUUAUAUAAGUGAAAGUACAUGGUGUCAUCAUAUUUGAAGCAUAUUUGUAUCCCUAAUAUAAGUGAAGGUACAUGGUGUCAUCAUAUUUUAAGCAUAUUUGUAUCCCUAAUAUAAGUGAAAGUACAUGGUGGCAUCAUAUAAGAAGCAUAUUUGUAUCCCUAAUAUAAGUGAAAGUACAUGGUGGCAUCAUAUAAGAAGCAUAUUUGUAUCCCUAAUAUAAGUGAAAGUACAUGGUGGCAUCAUAUAAGAAACAUAUUUGUAUCCCUAAUAUAAGUGAAAGUAUGUACUAUGGAAAUAAGUACAUAUAUGCAUGUAUACAUAUAUGUGUCUUGCAUAUAUUUCACAUGUAUGUCCAUAUAUGGGAAAAUAUAUGGCACUUACAUGAA